This 1021-nucleotide ribosomal RNA is filed under the name Metarhizium viride. RNAcentral describes it as "SSU rRNA". It matches the Rfam family "Eukaryotic small subunit ribosomal RNA", at positions 74 to 1106 of the family's 1831-position model. The record is from RNAcentral. Lineage: Eukaryota; Fungi; Ascomycota; Sordariomycetes; Hypocreales; Clavicipitaceae.
UUAUACAGCGAAACUGCGAAUGGCUCAUUAUAUAAGUUAUCGUUUAUUUGAUAGUACCUUACUACUUGGAUAACCGUGGUAAUUCUAGAGCUAAUACAUGCUAAAAAUCCCGACUUCGGAAGGGAUGUAUUUAUUAGAUUAAAAACCAAUGCCCUCUGGGCUCUCUGGUGAUUCAUAAUAACUUCUCGAAUCGCAUGGCCUUGCGCCGGCGAUGGUUCAUUCAAAUUUCUUCCCUAUCAACUUUCGAUGUUUGGGUAGUGGCCAAACAUGGUUGCAACGGGUAACGGAGGGUUAGGGCUCGACCCCGGAGAAGGAGCCUGAGAAACGGCUACUACAUCCAAGGAAGGCAGCAGGCGCGCAAAUUACCCAAUCCCGAUUCGGGGAGGUAGUGACAAUAAAUACUGAUACAGGGCUCUUUUGGGUCUUGUAAUUGGAAUGAGUACAAUUUAAAUCCCUUAACGAGGAACAAUUGGAGGGCAAGUCUGGUGCCAGCAGCCGCGGUAAUUCCAGCUCCAAUAGCGUAUAUUAAAGUUGUUGUGGUUAAAAAGCUCGUAGUUGAACCUUGGGCCUGGCUGGCCGGUCCGCCUCACCGCGUGUACUGGUCCGGCCGGGCCUUUCCCUCUGUGGAACCCCAUGCCCUUCACUGGGUGUGGCGGGGAAACAGGACUUUUACUUUGAAAAAAUUAGAGUGCUCCAGGCAGGCCUAUGCUCGAAUACAUUAGCAUGGAAUAAUGAAAUAGGACGUGCGGUUCUAUUUUGUUGGUUUCUAGGACCGCCGUAAUGAUUAAUAGGGACAGUCGGGGGCAUCAGUAUUCAAUUGUCAGAGGUGAAAUUCUUGGAUUUAUUGAAGACUAACUACUGCGAAAGCAUUUGCCAAGGAUGUUUUCAUUAAUCAGGAACGAAAGUUAGGGGAUCGAAGACGAUCAGAUACCGUCGUAGUCUUAACCAUAAACUAUGCCGACUAGGGAUCGGACGAUGUUAUUUUUUGACUCGUUCGGCACCUUACGAGAAAUCAAAGUGC